AACUUCGUCAUUUGUCUAUGGUGUGAUGUGUGUUUGCAAAACAUUUUAGUUUAAAAUUAUUAAAAUUAAAAUCUUAAGAAUUGUUUAUACCAAGUGUCCCUUCCUUUAAUAUUAAGAUAAUGACAGAAGUGCAGUUGCAAGAGUUCAAGUUGGAGCCAGACUCCGAACUUCGGUUCGAAGUUGAAUCUAAAAACGAAAAAGUUGUUUUGGAGGUAAAGAGUGGAUAUGCGGAGUUAUUUGGAACAGAACUAGUCAAAGGAAAACCGUAUGAGUUCCACACUGGUGCCAAGGUGGCGGUCUUUACGUGGCAUGGUUGCAUAGUGGAGCUACGAGGACGUACAGAAGUUAGCUAUAUUGCUAAAGAGACGCCUAUGGUAGUGUACCUCAAUGUGCACGCUGCGUUAGAGCAACAGAGAGUAGCAGCAGAGCAAGAGAACACAAGAGGACCUGUGACCAUGGUGGUAGGCCCUGGGGAUGUUGGCAAGUCAACAUUGACCAGGAUACUGCUGAACUACGCUGUGAGGAUGGGCCGACGGCCUAUUUAUGUUGAUUUGGAUGUCGGUCAAGGCCAUAUCAGUGUACCAGGCACUGUUGGAGCACUACUGGUAGAGCGGCCUGCGUCCAUUGAAGAGGGUUUCAGUCAGCAAGCCCCCCUGGUGUACCACUACGGACACAAGAGCCCCGGAGAGAACUUGGAGCUAUAUAAAACGAUUGUUUCUCGGCUAGCUGAGGUCAUUGCGGAACGGUGCGAGAAUAAUAAGAAAGCAUCCACAUCAGGUGUAAUAAUCAACACAUGUGGGUGGGUGAAGGCUGCCGGCUACAAAGUGCUGACUCACGCCGCUCAGGCGUUCGAGGUAGAUGUAAUCCUAGUGCUGGACAAUGAAAGACUGUACAAUGAACUGAAGAGGGACAUGCCAAAGUUUGUCAAAGUUGUGUACUUGCCCAAGAGUGGAGGGGUGGUGGAGCGGUCGUCGAGUCAGCGCGCCGAGUCCCGCGACGCGCGCAUUCGCGAGUACUUCUACGGCAAGCGGACCCCUUACUACCCGCACUCCUUCGACGUCAAGUUCGCUGACUUAAAGAUUUAUAAGGUGGGCGCGCCGUCGCUGCCCGACUCGUGCAUGCCGCUGGGCAUGCGCGCGUCGGACGCGCUGACGAAGCUGGUGAGCGUGUGGCCGUCGGGCGCGCUGGCGCACCGCGUGCUGGCCGUGUCGUUCGCGGGCGGGCCCGACGAGCGCGCGCUGCACUGCAACCUGGCCGGCUUCGUGUGCGUGUGAGUACUGCCGGGGGACGCACGCCGCUGGGCAUGCGCGCGUCGGACGCGCUGACGAAGCUGGUGAGCGUGUGGCCGUCGGGCGCGCUGGCGCACCGCGUGCUGGCCGUGUCGUUCGCGGGCGGGCCCGACGAGCGCGCGCUGCACUGCAACCUGGCCGGCUUCGUGUGCGUGUGAGUACUGCCGGGGGACGCACGCCGCUGGGCAUGCGCGCGUCGGACGCGCUGACGAAGCUGGUGAGCGUGUGGCCGUCGGGCGCGCUGGCGCACCGCGUGCUGGUCGUGUCGUUCGCGGGCGGGCCCGACGAGCGCGCGCUGCACUGCAACCUGGCCGGCUUCGUGUGCGUGUGAGUACUGCCGGGGGACGCACGCCGCUGGGCAUGCGCGCGUCGGACGCGCUGACGAAGCUGGUGAGCGUGUGGCCGUCGGGCGCGCUGGCGCACCGCGUGCUGGCCGUGUCGUUCGCGGGCGGGCCCGACGAGCGCGCGCUGCACUGCAACCUGGCCGGCUUCGUGUGCGUGUGAGUACUGCCGGGGGACGCACGCCGCUGGGCAUGCGCGCGUCGGACGCGCUGACGAAGCUGGUGAGCGUGUGGCCGUCGGGCGCGCUGGCGCACCGCGUGCUGGCCGUGUCGUUCGCGGGCGGGCCCGACGAGCGCGCGCUGCACUGCAACCUGGCCGGCUUCGUGUGCGUCACCGCAGUAGACAUGGAGAGACAGACCCUCACCAUUCUGUCGCCGCAGCCGCGCCCCCUCCCCAACACCGUGCUACUGCUGUCAGACC
RNA transcript from Bicyclus anynana (squinting bush brown), 2051 nucleotides. It is a transcript of the gene named protein CLP1 homolog, with no coding region annotated. Lineage: Eukaryota; Metazoa; Arthropoda; Insecta; Lepidoptera; Nymphalidae. The transcript has 9 exons. The record is from RefSeq and is a predicted model, not a curated record.